GGGGAAUAUUGCACAAUGGGCGCAAGCCUGAUGCAGCGACGCCGCGUGAGGGAUGAAGGCCUUCGGGUUGUAAACCUCUUUCGUCAGGGAACAAGGCACUGUCUUUUGGUGGUGUUGAGGGUACCUGGAUAAGAAGCGCCGGCUAACUACGUGCCAGCAGCCGCGGUAAUACGUAGGGCGCAAGCGUUGUCCGGAAUUAUUGGGCGUAAAGAGCUCGUAGGCGGCUGGUCGCGCCUGUCGUGAAAACUUCCGGCUCAACCGGGGGCUUGCGGUGGGUACGGGCCGGCUAGAGUGCGGUAGGGGUAACUGGAACUCCUGGUGUAGCGGUGGAAUGCGCAGAUAUCAGGAAGAACACCGAUGGCGAAGGCAGGUUACUGGGCCGUUACUGACGCUGAGGAGCGAAAGCGUGGGGAGCGAACAGGAUUAGAUACCCUGGUAGUCCACGCCGUAAACGUUGGGCACUAGGUGUGAGGCUCCUUUCCGGGGGUUUUGCGCCGUAGCUAACGCAUUAAGUGCCCCGCCUGGGGAGUACGGCCGCAAGGCUA
RNAcentral lists this ribosomal RNA (545 nucleotides) under uncultured bacterium. RNAcentral describes it as "bacterial SSU rRNA". It matches the Rfam family "Bacterial small subunit ribosomal RNA", at positions 356 to 896 of the family's 1533-position model. The record is from RNAcentral.